UUGCUCACUUUGGUAGCACAUACACUAAAAUUGAAAUGAUACAGAGAAGAUUAGCAUGGCCUCUGUGCAAGGAUGACAUGCAAAUUUGUGAAGCAUUUCAUAUUUUU
RNAcentral lists this small nuclear RNA (107 nucleotides) under Piliocolobus tephrosceles (Ugandan red Colobus). The record is from RNAcentral. Lineage: Eukaryota; Metazoa; Chordata; Mammalia; Primates; Cercopithecidae.